CCAACGGCCCUCUUUAGGGCCACAAAUAUUUAAAAUCCUCUAUUG
Molecule: non-coding RNA, 45 nt
Organism: Caenorhabditis elegans
Lineage: Eukaryota; Metazoa; Nematoda; Chromadorea; Rhabditida; Rhabditidae
Source: Rfam